AGAGUUUGAUCCUGGCUCAGAACGAACGCUGGCGGCGUGCCUAACACAUGCAAGUCGAACGGAGUUGAGGGGCUUGCUCCUCAAUUUAGUGGCGCACGGGUGAGUAACGCGUAGAUAAUCUGCCUGACGAUCCGGGAUAACACUUCGAAAGGGGUGCUAAUACCGGAUAAGCCCACGGGGACUUUGGUCUUUGCGGGAAAAGGGGGGGACCUUUUGGCCUUCUGUCGUCAGAUGAGUCCGCGUACCAUUAGCUAGUUGGUAGGGUAAAGGCCUACCAAGGCUACGAUGGUUAGCUGGUCUGAGAGGAUGAUCAGCCACACUGGAACUGAGACACGGUCCAGACUCCUACGGGAGGCAGCAGUGGGGAAUUUUGCGCAAUGGGCGAAAGCCUGACGCAGCAACGCCGCGUGAGUGAUGAAGGCUUUCGGGUCGUAAAGCUCUGUCGAGGGGAAAGAAGUGUAUUGUGGUUAAUACCCAUGAUACUUGACGGUACCCCUAAAGGAAGCACCGGCUAACUCCGUGCCAGCAGCCGCGGUAAUACGGGGGGUGCAAGCGUUGUUCGGAAUUAUUGGGCGUAAAGCGCGUGUAGGCGGUUUGAUUAGUCUGAUGUGAAAGCCCUGGGCUCAACCCAGGAAGUGCAUUGGAAACUGUCAGACUUGAAUACGGGAGAGGGUAGUGGAAUUCCUAGUGUAGGAGUGAAAUCCGUAGAUAUUAGGAGGAACACCGGUGGCGAAGGCGGCUACCUGGACCGAUAUUGACGCUGAGACGCGAAAGCGUGGGUAGCAAACAGGAUUAGAUACCCUGGUAGUCCACGCCGUAAACGAUGAGUACUAGGUGUUGCGGGUAUUGACCCCUGCAGUGCCGCAGCUAACGCAUUAAGUACUCCGCCUGGGAAGUACGGUCGCAAGACUAAAACUCAAAGGAAUUGACGG
RNAcentral lists this ribosomal RNA (932 nucleotides) under uncultured bacterium. RNAcentral's name for it is "bacterial SSU rRNA". It matches the Rfam family "Bacterial small subunit ribosomal RNA", at positions 8 to 916 of the family's 1533-position model. The record is from RNAcentral.